Molecule: long non-coding RNA, 1397 nt
Organism: Tigriopus californicus
Lineage: Eukaryota; Metazoa; Arthropoda; Copepoda; Harpacticoida; Harpacticidae
Exons: 6
Source: RefSeq, a predicted model, not a curated record
CAUGCAAUAAACUUGUAUAAAAUCAGCCAUCAAUGAUUUAUAAAAUCAGUAGUCACCUUCGAAUUACUUGAUCAUGUCCACUAUUCUAAACGUGGCCCUCGUUGUCUUUGCUGUCUUUGUUGGAACAGGGGCAAAAGAGCUCAAGAUCCACAAGGACUCUUUUGUGCGACUGUGGCCCACAUCCGCUGCAGGGCGCAUUCCUAAUUGCGAAAAUGGACCCUGGAUCAGUUGCCAGCGAGCCUCAGUGAACUUAGAGGCGCUGAGAAGCAAACAAUCGCUCAUCCUUCCUCAAGGAACAGAGGUCCAUUUGGACGAAUCCUCUCAAGGGCUCCUUCCGGGAUCCCAAAGUGCCACCUACUCCUCCAAGGAUAAUAAGCACUCUAUGAAAGUGAACUUCUUCUCCUCGGGUUCGAACGAGGUCAGUGGACUGAUUCGCGAGAACGGACGGGUGUUUGUUUUGGGAGCUUGCGACAAUCUGGGCGGAGAUUGCCAAGUCAUGGCUGAGAAUGACCCGAAUGCAUCCCCUGUGACUUAGAAGCGUUCCUCAGUUUUGGCCAUAGAGCUCGAGGUCCAGGAUAGACAAAUUUCCUCAGUCACCCCCACCACAACAACGGUAACCACAACAACAGUGACCACAACAACAGUGACCACAACAACAAUGACCACAACAACAGAGACCACAACAACAGAGACCACAACAACAAUGACCACAACAACAAUGACUACUACUACCACCACCACUGUCACCACCACCGUGUCCCCUGCCAAAGUGAUCAAUGAGUGUGUUAAAACCGCUGCCAGCAACGUUUUGUCCAUGGGGGCCCCUUAUGUCAUUGAUUACCCGGGCAGUGGAAAUUACGGAGAUUCGGUGUAUUGCUUGUGGCGAUUCUUUUCACCAAUGGGCACUAGGAUCCAGGUGACCAUACAAAAAAUGGACGUUGAGGGUACAAUGCCGGCCUGCAAUGAGGACAAGCUGACUUUCUACGAGGGGGGAUCAAAAUAUCAAACAAUAUGCGGGAAUGAAUUGGAACCCUACACGACCAUGUAUAACCGCCUGUGGGUUAUAUUCAGGUCAAAUGCAGCAUUGGCAGCAGAGGGAUUCAGGAUCACUUUGACAGUUAUGUAAGUUUUACCCACCUUCAGUGUGGAACCGUAUUAGAGAAGAGGCGCCAAAUUCGAAUCCCAGCUCCCACCUCUGCUAAGAACAAGAUUUAUCUGCAACUUUGGAAACCCUCGAACUGACAUUGGACCAAAGAAUGAAUGACGGAAAAAUUUUGGUCCUGACCUCCAGGUUGACCUCUGGAUAAUGAUGGUCAUUUAAAAAGCAUUUCUUCUAUGUAAAACAAAUGCGGAAUUUGAACCAAAUGGCCUAAAUACAACAAUUCAUAUCAAAACAA